Charadrius vociferus (killdeer) is the source of this 46-nucleotide non-coding RNA. NCBI's taxonomy places the organism in Eukaryota, Metazoa, Chordata, Aves, Charadriiformes, Charadriidae. The record is from Rfam.
AAAAAGGCUGUAUUUACAGCUAUAAAAAUAGUGCUGGCAUUAUUAU